UGGACAAAUUAUUGUAUUCGACUGUAUUCACGGCAUGAAAUAGGGGAUUACACUAUUUUAAAAUGGAAAGUGAAUCAAUUAACAUAAUAGACUCCU
This 96-nucleotide microRNA precursor is filed under the name Nicotiana sylvestris (wood tobacco). RNAcentral's name for it is "MIR6152 microRNA precursor family". It matches the Rfam family "MIR6152 microRNA precursor family". Lineage: Eukaryota; Viridiplantae; Streptophyta; Magnoliopsida; Solanales; Solanaceae. The record is from Rfam by way of RNAcentral.